CACAUCUUCACGAUCUCAAAGUCGUUGAAACCGUUUAUCGUCCUCCACAUAUUUAUUUCACGAGGAACUCAAACUCUUAUUUUUGCUCUUUGAAAUUUUGAUUCCUUAAACUCUCUCCCCAACGCCUCAUAACCGUUUCUUCUCACGGCGACUGUUAUGCAGUGGAGCUGUCGCUUAUAUUUCCCGAGAUAUAUAUGUCUCGGUCUGCUCUGUCUGCGAUUCUCUCACAAAAUGAGCCUCCUCCAAUUCCCACUGUAUAGUCGUCAGCGACAAGUUCCUACGCCACCCACUCCCGGUAUACGAGUACAUCCACUGGAGAUUGGAUUCGAUCUAUGUUCCAUGAAAAUCAGUAUAUUUGGAGAUCCCGAACAAAGGAAAAGCAACUAUUGCUAGGUAUUUUUUUGUGGAGGUUAUAAGGUCAAAGGGAGUGAGACUGGAUGGAUACCAAGAAAGAAGUCAAGAAGCAUAGAGCAAAGACUUAAGCUACGUGAGGAAAAGACGGUGGCAAAAUGAGAGCAACGAUUAAGAAGGUGACUAUAAAAUCCAACAAAAAGUCUCCAUAAAUAUGGAGUAGGAAACCAAGAAGAAGGCUUAGACUUAGAGGCUACAUAAAUGCAAGUAAAUAAGAAUAAAAAAGUUGAUGGUUAAUAAAAGUCCAACGAUAUCAUAUUAGAAAGGAUUCUUUCACUGAAAGCAAUGGUAACAGCACCAAAGAUGACGUUUAAACCCACAAGGAUUACUUGAAUACUUCUGAUGGAAAUCCAUUGUGCAUCAAGAGAAAUGUUGGGUCUGUGACACAUACAUGAGAAUGAGACACUACGACACCUUGCUCAAAGACACAUACGUUGGUACUAAUUAUUGCCCUUUUAUUCUCAUAUUCUCUGACUUUUCUACUAAUUACAAAUUGUAUUCUUUUGUUGUCGGCUUACAAAGUGAGUAAAACACAAUCAGCCCAAAGAUAGCCAAAAAAUGAUUUCAUGUUCAGUUAUUUUAAAUAAACAAAUCAUGUUGUAACUGCAUAUAUAUCUAUCGAUCACGUAUUCAUCA
Arabidopsis lyrata subsp. lyrata is the source of this 1047-nucleotide long non-coding RNA. RefSeq lists it as uncharacterized. Lineage: Eukaryota; Viridiplantae; Streptophyta; Magnoliopsida; Brassicales; Brassicaceae. The record is from RefSeq and is a predicted model, not a curated record. The transcript is spliced from 3 exons.